UUGUUUUUUUAGGUUUUGAUUUUUAUGCCAUGCUCAUGUGAAAAUCAAAAUCUAAAGAAAAUG
Ophiophagus hannah (king cobra) is the source of this 63-nucleotide microRNA precursor. It matches the Rfam family "mir-737 microRNA precursor family". The record is from Rfam. Lineage: Eukaryota; Metazoa; Chordata; Lepidosauria; Squamata; Elapidae.